GGCCUCUCUCCCGUGAGGCUGUGGGGGGUCUCUUUUCUCCUCAGCUGGGGCUGGAGGCCAAGAUCAGCCUUUGAGGAUCAUUGUCGGGGCUGCCACAAGCGGGCAGCCUUGUUUUCCUACCUCAGACAAGU
Non-coding RNA from Rhinolophus ferrumequinum (greater horseshoe bat), 131 nucleotides. NCBI's taxonomy places the organism in Eukaryota, Metazoa, Chordata, Mammalia, Chiroptera, Rhinolophidae. The record is from Ensembl.